GAUGAAGAACGUAGCGAAAUGCGAUAAGUAAUGUGAAUUGCAGAAUUCAGUGAAUCAUCGAAUCUUUGAACGCACAUUGCGCCCGCCAGCACUCUUGCGGGCAUGCCUGUUCGAGCGUCAUUUCAACCAUCAAGCCCCCAGGGGCUUGUGCUGGGGCCCUGCGGCUGCCCGCAGGCCCUGAAAACCAGUGGCGGGCUCGCUAGUCACACCGAGCGCAGUAGCACAUCUCGCUCAGGGCGUGCGGCGGGCUCCUGCCGUGAAACCCCCCACUGUAACCCCAAAGGUUGACCUCGGAUCAGGUAGGAAUACCCGCUGAACUUAAGCAUAUCAAUAAGCGGAGGA
RNAcentral lists this unclassified non-coding RNA (342 nucleotides) under soil metagenome. RNAcentral describes it as "partial contains 5.8S ribosomal RNA, internal transcribed spacer 2, and large subunit ribosomal RNA". The stretch from base 1 to 120 matches the Rfam family "5.8S ribosomal RNA", at positions 35 to 154 of the family's 154-position model. The record is from RNAcentral.